AGGGAAAGAAGAAUGAAAAGGGCUUGCUAAAGGGAGAAGUGAGGGGAAAGUGUUUAUAGUGUGCUUGUGUUCUGGUCUGGGUUUGUGAAGAAAAAAAAAAAAUCAGCUUGGAUCACUCAACGUCAAACAGGAGGAGUGAAAGUAUGAGGUAAGUGAGAUAAAGAUUGUGUACCUUUGUCUUUGUCUCAAGAGGUAUUUAUAGGAGGAUGUGAAGAUUUUUGAGGAGUAAGGACAUUAAUGGCCAAAAUUGUAACUACAUAAACAUCUGCUAGGCUUCUAUCUAUGUCCAUGUCCUUGUCGGAGUAGCUGCCUCGUCUAGCCGUUGCUGGCUUGGUAAAGAAGUUUUGACCGUAUGUUGACCUGUUAAUUGAGCUAAGUUCGUGAUGGAUUAGGUUUAGGCCGAGCCAAAAAUACAAAACACGAUUCAUUUAUUUUAAUUAUUAUAUGGAAUAUAGAAUAGAUAUAUAAAAUUAUAGGUAGCAAUGUUGUGUUGCCUUCUGUAAUAAAAAAUGCUGUUCUCUAUUAAAAAAAGAAGAUUACUUGUUGAAUGGUUUGCGGGGCAAUGUUCUAUGUAUGGAUAUUCAAACACACGAAGCAUACGCGGUUUGUUUUGUGGAUAA
RNAcentral lists this long non-coding RNA (620 nucleotides) under Medicago truncatula (barrel medic). RNAcentral describes it as "lncRNA gene45594". Lineage: Eukaryota; Viridiplantae; Streptophyta; Magnoliopsida; Fabales; Fabaceae. The record is from RNAcentral.